CCUACGGGAGGCAGCAGUGGGGAAUAUUGCACAAUGGGGGAAACCCUGAUGCAGCGACGCCGCGUGAGUGAAGAAGUAUUUCGGUACGUAAAGCUCUAUCAGCAGGGAAGAAAAUGACGGUACCUGACUAAGAAGCCCCGGCUAACUACGUGCCAGCAGCCGCGGUAAUACGUAGGGGGCAAGCGUUAUCCGAAUUUACUGGGUGUAAAGGGAGCGUAGACGGCAGCGCAAGUCUGGAGUGAAAUCCCAUGGCUUAACCAUGGAACUGCUUUGGAAACUGUGCAGCUAGAGUGCAGGAGAGGUAAGCGGAAUUCCUAGUGUAGCGGUGAAAUGCGUAGAUAUUAGGAGGAACACCAGUGGCGAAGGCGGCUUACUGGACUGUAACUGACGUUGAGGCUCGAAAGCGUGGGGAGCAAACAGGAUUAGAUACCCGAGUAGUC
Molecule: ribosomal RNA, 440 nt
Filed under: uncultured bacterium
Lineage: Bacteria
Description: partial 16S ribosomal RNA
Rfam family: Bacterial small subunit ribosomal RNA
Source: RNAcentral